UUUGACCUCGGAUCAGGUAGGGAUACCCGCUGAACUUAAGCAUAUCAAUAAGCGGAGGAAAAGAAACCAACAGGGAUUGCCUCAGUAACGGCGAGUGAAGCGGCAACAGCUCAAAUUUGAAACCUGCCAACCGGCCGGAUUGUAAUUUGCAGAGGAUGCUUUGGGAAAGGUACUGAUCUAAGUUUCUUGGAACAGAACGUCACAGAGGGUGAGAAUCCCGUCCGUGGUCGGCCGCCUGCCCCGUGUAAAGCUCCUUCGACGAGUCGAGUUGUUUGGGAAUGCAGCUCUAAAUGGGUGGUAAAUUUCAUCUAAAGCUAAAUAUUGGCCAGAGACCGAUAGCGCACAAGUAGAGUGAUCGAAAGAUGAAAAGCACUUUGGAAAGAGAGUUAAACAGCACGUGAAAUUGUUGAAAGGGAAGCGCUUGCAAUCAGACUUGGGCGCGGGUACUCAGGGACGGUUCGCCGUUCUGUAUUUGCCCGCGCACAGGCCAGCAUCAGUUUUGGGGGUGGGAUAAAGGCCGUAGGAAUGUGGCUCUUCGGAGUGUUAUAGCCUACGGUGCCAUGCCACCUCCCGGGACUGAGGACCGCGCUUCGGCUAGGAUGCUGGCGUAAUGAUUGUAAGCGAC
RNAcentral lists this ribosomal RNA (625 nucleotides) under Chaetomella sp. BBA70074. Its description in RNAcentral is "eukaryotic LSU rRNA". It matches the Rfam family "Eukaryotic large subunit ribosomal RNA", at positions 1 to 648 of the family's 3401-position model. Lineage: Eukaryota; Fungi; Ascomycota; Leotiomycetes; Chaetomellales; Chaetomellaceae. The record is from RNAcentral.